AGCUCGUAGGCGGUUUGUCGCGUCUGCCGUGAAAGUCCGGGGCUCAACUCCGGAUCUGCGGUGGGUACGGGCAGACUAGAGUGAUGUAGGGGAGACUGAAAUUCCUGGUGUAGCGGUGAAAUGCGCAGAUAUCAGGAGGAACACCGAUGGCGAAGGCAGGUCUCUGGGCAUUAACUGACGCUGAGGAGCGAAAGCAUGGGGAGCGAACAGGAUUAGAUACCCUGGUAGUCCAUGCCGUAAACGUUGGGCACUAGGUGUGGGGGACAUUCCACGUUUUCCGCGCCGUAGCUAACGCAUUAAGUGCCCCGCCUGGGGAGUACGGCCGCAAGGCUAAAACUCAAAGGAAUUGACGGGGGCCCGCACAAGCGGCGGAGCAUGCGGAUUAAUUCGAUGCAACGCGAAGAACCUUACCAAGGCUUGACAUGAACCGGUAAGACCUGGAAACAGGUCCCCCACUUGUGGUCGGUUUACAGGUGGUGCAUGGUUGUCGUCAGCUCGUGUCGUGAGAUGUUGGGUUAAGUCCCGCAACGAGCGCAACCCUCGUUCCAUGUUGCCAGCGCGUUAUGGCGGGGACUCAUGGGAGACUGCCGGGGUCAACUCGGAGGAAGGUGGGGACGACGUCAAAUCAUCAUGCCCCUUAUGUCUUGGGCUUCACGCAUGCUACAAUGGCCGGUACAAAGGGUUGCGAUACUGUGAGGUGGAGCUAAUCCCAAAAAGCCGGUCUCAGUUCGGAUUGGGGUCUGCAACUCGACCCCAUGAAGUCGGAGUCGCUAGUAAUCGCAGAUCAGCAACGCUGCGGUGAAUACGUUCCCGGGCCUUGUACACACCGCCCGUCAAGUCAC
RNAcentral lists this ribosomal RNA (842 nucleotides) under Arthrobacter sp. RNAcentral describes it as "bacterial SSU rRNA". It matches the Rfam family "Bacterial small subunit ribosomal RNA", at positions 566 to 1405 of the family's 1533-position model. The record is from RNAcentral. Lineage: Bacteria; Bacillati; Actinomycetota; Actinomycetes; Micrococcales; Micrococcaceae.